GAUGAACGCUGGCGGCGUGCCUAAUACAUGCAAGUCGAGCGAACAGACGAGGAGCUUGCUCCUCUGACGUUAGCGGCGGACGGGUGAGUAACACGUGGAUAACCUAUCUAUAAGACUGGGAUAACUUCGGGAAACCGGAGCUAAUACCGGAUAAUAUCUUGAACCGCAUGGUUCAAUAGUGAAAGACGGUUUUGCUGUCACUUAUAGAUGGAUCCGCGCCGCAUUAGCUAGUUGGUAAGGUAACGGCUUACCAAGGCAACGAUGCGUAGCCGACCUGAGAGGGUGAUCGGCCACACUGGAACUGAGACACGGUCCAGACUCCUACGGGAGGCAGCAGUAGGGAAUCUUCCGCAAUGGGCGAAAGCCUGACGGAGCAACGCCGCGUGAGUGAUGAAGGUCUUCGGAUCGUAAAACUCUGUUAUUAGGGAAGAACAAAUGUGUAAGUAACUAUGCACGUCUUGACGGUACCUAAUCAGAAAGCCACGGCUAACUACGUG
RNAcentral lists this ribosomal RNA (497 nucleotides) under uncultured bacterium. RNAcentral's name for it is "partial 16S ribosomal RNA". It matches the Rfam family "Bacterial small subunit ribosomal RNA", at positions 28 to 507 of the family's 1533-position model. The record is from RNAcentral.